RNAcentral lists this transfer RNA (64 nucleotides) under Filhollianassa ceramica. Its description in RNAcentral is "tRNA-Val". Lineage: Eukaryota; Metazoa; Arthropoda; Malacostraca; Decapoda; Callianassidae. The record is from RNAcentral.
GGUUUUUUAGUAUAGAAAGUACACUUGAUUUACACUCAAGAAGGUCAUUUUAAUGAAAGAACUU